Long non-coding RNA from Mus pahari (shrew mouse), 556 nucleotides. RefSeq lists it as uncharacterized. The record is from RefSeq and is a predicted model, not a curated record. The transcript has 4 exons. NCBI's taxonomy places the organism in Eukaryota, Metazoa, Chordata, Mammalia, Rodentia, Muridae.
AGGGAAGAGUUACCCGGGCUAGAGAGGACAGCGGACCGCAGGUUUAGUCCUGGCUGUGGAGUUGGGAUGCUGAGAUGGGUCUGGAGAGAUGCAGGAUGUUCUAGUCCCAGUUAGGAUGGUAAAUAGGGUCCUCGCUCCGAGGAGGGAUGCUGAACGGGGUCUGGAAGAAUGCAAGAUGUCCUGGUCCGGGCCAGGAGUGCCCAGGAUGGCCUGGAAACAGCGGACAAAGGAUCUCCUGGCACUAGUUGCACUCAGGAGGCAGAGGCAAGAGGAUCUCUGGGUUCUUGGACAACCUGGUCUAUAUGCUGGACGUCAGAUCCCUGUGGGGAUAUAAGAGGAUGUUUCCAGAAAGACCAAACUAAAAAGGAAAGUCCAACCCUGAAUGUGGAGGACAGCCUCCCCUAGGCUGGGCUCCCAGACUGAGUAAGAAGAAAAUGAGCUGAGCACGCUUCCCCCCUCCCCCUCUCUCUCCCCUACCCCCCCCAUACAAUGUGGUCAGUUACCAGCCAACCCCCUGCUGCGGUGCCUAUCCCUACCACUGUGAACUGUUCGCCCU